RNAcentral lists this long non-coding RNA (719 nucleotides) under Mytilus galloprovincialis (Mediterranean mussel). The record is from RNAcentral. Lineage: Eukaryota; Metazoa; Mollusca; Bivalvia; Mytilida; Mytilidae.
CUGCCAUUGUAGAUGUGGUCCUAAUAGUUAAUAUAUAAUUAAGAUGUAAAAUUCCUAAUUUUUUGAAUUAAUCAUCUUUAUAAGUAAAAGUUGGUUGGGUAGAUUUUAUGAUUACGAGAACGAAAGAAGUAGAGGAAAAUAAUGAUAGUUUUUUUUUUAUAAAUAUGAGGGGGAAAAUCAUGUGCAUUUUUACAGUGAAAAAUAACCCUUGAUUAUAUAAAAUAACAAAAUAAUGGAUUAUAACUAAAUAUCUGCUGAAUUAUUGAUAAUUAUGUAAAGGAGUACCGGUAUGGCCACGAAGGCCUUAAAUUGGCCCUAAAAAUCAAAGUUUGUAAUAUCAUAUGUAAAGGACCUAUAUUUGCAAUCUUAAAUAUGAAAAUCUAGAUAAACUAUUAAAACAUUUUUGUUGUCUGCUGUUCCUUGUAAUAAUGUUGACAGCUUCAAAAGUGUGAUAUUUAACAAGUAUAUUGCUACAUUGGCUUUUUUUUUUUUUAGGUCUAUUUCCUUUAAAAAAAAUCAUUGACCACACCCUAAGACCAAAAUAAAAUUGUUAUAAAAAGAUGUAUACGUGUCAGAUGAACAUUUUAAACAAAACAUUAUGGUCCUUGCAUGUGGCCAAAAAUCGUUUGAAGCAACAACAAAAAAUUUAGGCAAAAAAUUAGUCAAACUUUAUGUUUAUCUUCUUUAGUGGACAUUUUAAUUGUUCUAAUGCAUCAGAG